RNAcentral lists this signal recognition particle RNA (266 nucleotides) under Candidatus Woesearchaeota archaeon. RNAcentral's name for it is "signal recognition particle sRNA". The stretch from base 113 to 209 matches the Rfam family "Bacterial small signal recognition particle RNA". Lineage: Archaea; Nanobdellati; Candidatus Woesearchaeota. The record is from RNAcentral.
AUAUGGGCUAGACAGGCGGGUUAGGCGCCGUUGUAACUCUAUAUACCAGAGUGUCGAAGUUCAUUGGGAGGCAUUGACUGUAUGCUAUAUCCCCAAUAAAUAAUGUCGAAGCGUUGCCUUCCUUGGCGGUUAAUUUUGAGAACCUGGUCAGGCGGGGAACCGAGCAGCCAUAAUCAUGUUUAUUCGUGCUUUGAAGUAGUGGCGUGGAGUUAUUUUUUGGUAAGAUAUAACUUUCAUAAUUUGUCCACCUUUGAAUGUGCCCACUU